GUUCACAAACCAAAACUAAAUUCGAAACGCGCGCCGAACCGGACUAUUUCGCGGAGCAAUACAUGUGCAGUAGCUCCGCCCCCGUAGCCUUCCCAGCCUUCCCUUCAUUGCCAAGAAAAGUUGUCCUUGGGGGCGCUUUAGUUGUUUGACGGGUGCGCGCGGUUUGUGUGUGUGCCAUGCUGUGUUCUACAAUGCUUCGUUACCACGUUUAUCGAUUAUGCACGUUGGUUACGUGAUUCAAUAUCAAGUGUACCUUCCAAGACGAUCUAGGUCCUAGUCUCGUAACUGACGGCGAGUGCGGACGUACAGCAGCCUUUUGACAAGACUGUCGCCGAGUGUACGGUACAUUGUGGACUGUAAAGCUGAAGAGUGCGCAGUGGAUGCCUGAUUUUGGAACCGAGUGUGAUCGUCUGGGCGGUGUGUUCACUCUGCGGGGAUGAUGGCCAGAGGAAGGAUGAUAGACAGACGACAGCUUGCAGAAGAAGAUGGGGGCGUUCUACCUGUGAGCCUGGUCGAGUUUACAUUUUAUGGAUACACAUGCAUGGAUACACAUACAUGGAUUCCCUACAAGGACCCUGCGCAUCAAAAGCAAUCUGUCAUCAAUGUUAAGUAGACAGAUUAAACGAAACGAAGAUAUGACAGGUGUACACCAUAUUUUUCUUUCAUUUAACCUCUGCAUGUUUCCCAGUCAAUAAAU
Rhipicephalus sanguineus (brown dog tick) is the source of this 697-nucleotide long non-coding RNA. RefSeq lists it as uncharacterized. Lineage: Eukaryota; Metazoa; Arthropoda; Arachnida; Ixodida; Ixodidae. The transcript is spliced from 4 exons. The record is from RefSeq and is a predicted model, not a curated record.